CAGCACCUCAAGUGGUCAGGAUGAUUAUUGGGCCUAAAGCAUCCGUAGCCGGCGCUGUAAGUUUUCGGUUAAAUCUGUACGCUCAACGUACAGGCUGCCGGGAAUACUGCAGCGCUAGGGAGUGGGAGAGGUAGACGGUACUCGGUAGGAAGGGGUAAAAUCCUUCGAUCUAUUGAUGACCACCUGUGGCGAAGGCGGUCUACCAGAACACGUCCGACGGUGAGGGAUGAAAGCUGGGGGAGCAAACCGGAUUAGAGACCCGAGUAGUCC
Molecule: ribosomal RNA, 270 nt
Filed under: uncultured archaeon
Lineage: Archaea
Description: partial 16S ribosomal RNA
Rfam family: Archaeal small subunit ribosomal RNA
Source: RNAcentral